CGGUCCGUGCCGCAAGCGGGACCUCUCCGGACGGUGCACGAUUUUCCCUCGCCAGUGUGCUCGCCCUUCGCGGUGCUCCUUGGCACCUUGGGGACUGCAGGAAGAGCUACUUAAAUAGCCUGCCUUUGCCUUCCCUGGUCUCGCAGUGCGUGCCUCCACCUUUCUCAUUCCUGACCCCCUGCUCGCUCUUCCCAAACUUUCUCUCACCCAUCUUGUCUUGGCUCCUUGGAGGGAGAAGCAUGGUGAUUUUAGGCAUUCACUGCCAUCCUGCAGAAGUGCAGAGGAUCUGGUAUAUGACUUGAGGGCAGAGCCCAGGAUACCCCCACUGACUGCAGCAGAAAUUUCUUCCUCAGGAGAGAUUUCCUCCACCAUGCGGCUGGAGGAUUUCUCAGGGAAGCUGCCACAGCACUGAGCUCUCCAGAGACCAUAUCACAGUGUUCUCCAGCAGCUUCUGAUGAAUCCUAGUCUCCUAAGAUCUAGAGGCUAGUACUCCAAAAUUAAGGUGCCACAUGGCCAGGUUCUGGUGAGGAUCUGCUUCUUGGCUUGCAGAUGGUCACCUUCUCACUGUGUCCUCACAUGGCAGAGAAAAUGCUUCAUACACUGAGGAUUCCACCUCUGCUCAUAGAUGUCACCCUCCUUCAUCUGGCCUCAGUCCUUCAUGCUGCAGCCUGACACCACUCCUUCCCAAAGUCAGCCACCUGUCAACAAGAACUCCACAUCACCUACUAAUAGACGCUCAGGAGCACAAGAAAGUCAUAAGGCAUCACAUGAGGAAACCAUAACAGGCCAUGGGGCAUAAAAGAAAGAAGAAAGACAAGACCCUCCAACACCACCUCCUGUGGCCAAAACAUGGUCACCACCAUUUGGAAAAUACUUUGGUGGGGUGCCUGGGUGGCUCAGUUGGUUAAGCCUCCAACUUCAGCUCAGGUCAGAUCUCA
Molecule: long non-coding RNA, 938 nt
Organism: Suricata suricatta (meerkat)
Lineage: Eukaryota; Metazoa; Chordata; Mammalia; Carnivora; Herpestidae
Exons: 6
Source: RefSeq, a predicted model, not a curated record